AGUGAACGCUGGCGGUAGGCCUAACACAUGCAAGUCGAACGGCAGCACAGUAAGAGCUUGCUCUUACGGGUGGCGAGUGGCGGACGGGUGAGGAAUACAUCGGAAUCUACUUUUUCGUGGGGGAUAACGUUGGGAAACUUACGCUAAUACCGCAUACGACCUACGGGUGAAAGCAGGGGAUCUUCGGACCUUGCGCGAUUGAAUGAGCCGAUGUCGGAUUAGCUAGUUGGCGGGGUAAAGGCCCACCAAGGCGACGAUCCGUAGCUGGUCUGAGAGGAUGAUCAGCCACACUGGAACUGAGACACGGUCCAGACUCCUACGGGAGGCAGCAGUGGGGAAUAUUGGACAAAGGGCGCAAGCCUGAUCCAGCCAUACCGCGUGGGUGAAGAAGGCCUUCGGGUUGUAAAGCCCUUUUGUUGGGAAAGAAAAGCAGCAGGUUAAUACCCCGCUGUUCUGACGGUACCCAAAGAAUAAGCACCGGCUAACUUCGUG
Molecule: ribosomal RNA, 492 nt
Filed under: uncultured bacterium
Lineage: Bacteria
Description: partial 16S ribosomal RNA
Rfam family: Bacterial small subunit ribosomal RNA
Source: RNAcentral